AUUAACCAGCUCAGCUCUCCGCCUCUCCCUGCUCUGUCCACCCUUCUCAGUUCUCCGCUUCUCGGUGCUCAGCUAGUCGCCUGCUUUAUACUGCGACCACCGCCGAACCAGCAACCCCGCUGCUGAUACCGCCAACACAGCGAUACAACGAUCGCCACCACCGCCGAACCAGGUUCGUCUUCUUGCUCCCUUUCGAUUUUCACGUUUUUCCGUCCUCGCCAUUCAUAGCGGGGAUGGGUUAUUUAAGUAGAUUUAUCUAUUAAAUGAUUUCCGUAUGGAACUGAUGGCUGACUUCAUCAAUGCACCUGAUGGUCCUGUAAGCAACUCAGGUUAGUAAAAAUGGGUUUGUGUGUGUGCGCUUGCGCUUAUGGAGUUUCUGAAUUUACUCAUAGAUGAUUGGAAUUGGAAAUGGAAGAAAGAGUUUUACUUAGUAGAUGACUGAGGUUGUAGUUGUUAUUGUUUAAUCUCAUAAUACUGAUUAUCUGAUGAGUCCUACAUUCUUUUGAUUAUGUUCAUGCUCCAUAAUUUCAGUUUUUUCUCAACAUUGUUUCUUGUUUUAUGAGGAGUAUAUUGCACUGGUGAGUUUAAUUUAUUCUUUUGUUGUCAGAACAAGCAAUUUCCUGAUCAUCAUUUUCCCUCAUUUUGUUUUACUGAGAGAUUCAUUUUCUUCCCACAUACAGUACUACAGAGUUUGUAUAAACCAUGUAUUGUUGUUUUAUGGCCGGGAGUUAUACUCAUGUAUGGUAUUGAUUUUUCGUAUAUGCAUAUACACUUUCUGUGUCCUAGCAGUUUCAUUAAUCAUCAAUCUAUUUAUCACAACUGUGUUUGCUAAGCAAAGUUCACUUUUUUUUUUCUCAAUUUCUUCUGUUCUCUAAUAAUAAAGAGUAGUUGUCUCCAUCUAGAUUCCAUUAUAUAUUUAAACUGCUUCUGUUUCAAUUAUUGUGUAUGUGUGUACGCAUUUGAAUUGAUCGCUUAGACACAAAAUUGAGGUUCUCGAGCACAUAUAAAAAAAAAAAGGGAAUUUCAUCAAGAUUCCAAAUGGACAGGCCGUUCUUGAUUGCUUCUCCUUAGAGGAAGCAAAGAUCCGCAGGAGUCAAGAGUGUACCCAAGAGGGUGUUCGUGCUGGUGCCAAGGCUACUGCAAUUGCAUGUGUUUCUAGUGCUGUUCCAACAGUGCCUCCAAAUGUUCCCCUCAUUUCUCUUGGUGACACUGGACUCCAAAUAUUCUCUCAGCUCCAUCCCCAGCCGAGUUGCACCUCAAGCUAAUGCUAUGGAGUCAUCGCCAUCCUCAACCGAGUAUUACCAUCUUCAAGCUAAAGCUACGGAGUCGCACAUUGUCAUCCUCAUCCUCAACCAAAAGGUACCACCAUUUUAGUGUCUGUUUAGGGUUUAAGGCUUAGAAAUCUUAUUUCAACUGCAUUUUCUUUUUUUUUUUUUCCUGCUUUUUUGCUUUGACAUUUUUGAGUAGAUAUAGAUGGAUUUGUAGGUUUAGAUAUUAAGAAAUAUAUAAUACUCCAUCUGAUUUCAGCUGCAUUUUGUUGUUUUUUCUGUUUUUUUUUUUGCGAGUACAUAUUGAAGGACUUGUAUAUCAGUCUGGUCUGUUGAUUUUGUUUUCUCCUUUUAUCAAUCUUGAUUUGAUGAUAAUAAUAUUUUAGCAGAUGGCUUCUAAAGCUAAUAUAAUGCACAUAGAAACCAUUCUCUGUACUUAAGGAUUGCAGAGCUUUGUCACAUUUUUUGUU
Molecule: long non-coding RNA, 1738 nt
Organism: Ipomoea triloba (trilobed morning glory)
Lineage: Eukaryota; Viridiplantae; Streptophyta; Magnoliopsida; Solanales; Convolvulaceae
Exons: 3
Source: RefSeq, a predicted model, not a curated record